CCUACGGGUGGCUGCAGUGGGGGAUAUUGCACAAUGGGGGGAACCCUGAUGCAGCGACGCCGCGUGGGUGAAGAAGCGCCUCGGCGCGUAAAGCCCUGUCAGCAGGGAAGAAAAUGACGGUACCUGAAGAAGAAGCCCCGGCUAACUACGUGCCACCAGCCGCGGUAAUACGUAGGGGGCAAGCGGUAUCCGGAUUUACUGGGUGUAAAGGGGGCGCAGACGGGGUUGCAAGCCAGGAGGGAAGACCCUGGGCCCAACCCCGGGACUGCUGUUGAAACUGGGUGGCUGGAGUGGAGGAGGGGGAGGCGGAAUGCCUGGUGUAGCGGUGAAAUGCGUAGAUAUCAGGAGGAACACCGGUGGCGAAGGCGGCCUGCUGGACUGCAACUGACGUUGAGGCCCGAAAGCGUGGGGAGCAAACAGGAUUAGAUACCCCAGUAGUC
RNAcentral lists this ribosomal RNA (440 nucleotides) under uncultured bacterium. Its description in RNAcentral is "partial 16S ribosomal RNA". It matches the Rfam family "Bacterial small subunit ribosomal RNA", at positions 338 to 795 of the family's 1533-position model. The record is from RNAcentral.